Long non-coding RNA from Fukomys damarensis (Damara mole-rat), 653 nucleotides. RefSeq lists it as uncharacterized. The transcript has 5 exons. Lineage: Eukaryota; Metazoa; Chordata; Mammalia; Rodentia; Bathyergidae. The record is from RefSeq and is a predicted model, not a curated record.
CACAGACAGGAGGACAAACCCCAGAAUGAGGAGAGCCUUCAUGUUGACUGGAAAGCCAAAUCACUGGGCUGCCUAGGCUGCUUCAGGAUGAGAGGGGCAGUGGCCCUGUGCAGCCAGAAAUCAAAAUUCUCGCUCUGAUCUAAAGAAAACAAAAUAAGAUGAGACGAAGCUGGAAUCCAACUCCAGAAGGAAAUGCAAGCACCACAUAACCGGUUCAGCAAUGUUUAUUUUGCAAACCACUUUUAGAAGGAGCCACCCGAUAAGAACAGCACAACAAGACCAGCAGUGCUGGGGAUAACACCGAGGCCUUGUGCAUGCCACACUAGUUCUGCGUCACUGAGCUGCACACCAAGAUCCUUACACUCUUUUCAGAAGUUUUAGCAGAUACGAAAGACCACAGCCCCCAGCAAAACAUGCCAUCCUCCAGGUGGCUAAAACCAGAUACAGGCGGUGGUGUCUCUGGGUGGAUAGAACACAGAACCGGAUGUUACAGAAAAGAGAUAAGACUACAAAGUACAGCACAACAUCUUCGUGGUGCCAAGUUACCAGAUAACAUCCAUACAUCUGCUUUGACCGCUGCAUGGACCUGGACCCCAAAUGUUUGCUCUGAUACCUGCACCUGACAGACCUCUGCCCAAUCCCCUAGGAAACGC